UCGAGAUGAGCGGGUAGCGGAGGGGGGCUUGCUUCACCGCCGAUCCACUGAGCUAAUUGUGGCUAGCGCUGCGACACUCUGUGUUUUGUCUUUUAUUCGGCUACUCGCCGGGUGUGUUGUGGAUCCGAUCCGCGGUCUCGUUGCCCCCUCGGCUGGCCGCCGGCCGCACCACGACAGGACACGGUCACACAGCCGAAGCAAUGGCAGGCGGUGCGGACUAGCCUAGCCGGAGAGAGCUAGCGCCGACACCGACAACAUCGCUCCCUGUGAGUUGGGGAAACCGAGAGGCAGACGCGGGGAUGCCGAGCGCUAAAUCACAGGGGUGUACCUGAAUAACUGGACAUUUACCUCACCGUCCUGGAGGCUGUACCGGUCAGCACCACACCGCCGGACUACCCGCGAUAUUUACAGUUUUCUUACCUGACCGGGACUCGCCUGAUCUGAGGAGGAUCUUCAUCCACAACCGGAGACGCGAUUCUAUCCCUGAGAGAUAAUCGCACCCGGCAGAAGGGAGCUGAUUCCGGGGGGGAGGGGGUUCCACCGGGGUCCACCGGGGUUUUUUGUGGGGUAUUGUGGAGAUUUAGGACGGGAACCGAGCAGAGACGAGAGGCUGCCGCUAAUGGCUCCUGCAGCCGCCGCUGAUUCGGGAACCCGGGAUCGAACCACCGCCGCCUGAUCUACUUAAUACAUCCGAGAGAAACAGACACUGAGUGAGUGAGACAGCAGGACGGACAGACAGGUAUAAAAACAGGGGACAGGACAGGACAGGUAAAGAGCAGGUGAAGGAACCACAGGAAGGCAAGAGAAGAAGGAGUUUGAGAAGAGCAGUGGUGAGGGUUACAUGAGACCGGGUUGAGUUCUGUUCAGGGGUUCUGAAGAGGAGCAGAGAGAAGACGUCAUCACAGAGCGCCAGAUCAUCAGAAAGAGUCACGCAGAGAGCAGGACACACUCAUGAUACGUCACGUUCACCAAACACACGUGUUCUUUAUUAUGUGUAUUCAUGCUCACUUACAUUUCACACCCAGAUUUCAUCCUCAUGUACAGAACCAAACAGGAACUGAUUCCAGAGCUGUACGGGUUCCUUUUUAUUCUCAGGAUGGACCAUCGGUACCAACACAUGAGCCUGGGUGGGUGGAACUAGAAGAAGAUCAGAACAGUUUAUUAGAGACACUGUUAAGCUGAUCCUGAAGAGCCCUGAAUCAUCACCUGAAAUCAGACAAUUACAGACACCCCAUAAAGUGAUCAUCACUGUUUCUUUUCUGAUGUGAAAUAAAAUGUUUUUGUUGUUUUUAUAA
Molecule: long non-coding RNA, 1295 nt
Organism: Trichomycterus rosablanca
Lineage: Eukaryota; Metazoa; Chordata; Actinopteri; Siluriformes; Trichomycteridae
Exons: 3
Source: RefSeq, a predicted model, not a curated record